CUUACGAGAUUGCAAUGAGAACAAUUUAAAUCUCUUAGCGAGGAACAAUUGGAGGGCAAGUCUGGUGCCAGCAGCCGCGGUAAUUCCAGCUCCAAUAGCGUAUAUUAAAGUUGUUGCAGUUAAAAAGCUCGUAGUUGAAUUUCUGAUUAUGGAUGUAGCGGUUUCCGUUACAUUUGUAGUCAUCCACAUGAGAACCUUUCUCGGCCUUCACUGGUCGGUUGGGGGAUCAUGUACUUUACUUUGUAAAAAAUACAGAGUGUUUCAGGCAGGCGUUUGCAUGAAUACACAAGCAUGGAAUAAUGGAAUAGGACUAGGGUCCAUUUUAUUGGUUAUUGGACCAUAGUAAUGAUUAAUAGGGACAGUUGGGGGCGAUUAGUAUUUAAUUGUCAGAGGUGAAAUUACUUGGAUUUAUUAAAGUACUAACUUAUGCGAAAGCAUUUGCCAAGGAUGUUUUC
Molecule: ribosomal RNA, 455 nt
Filed under: uncultured eukaryote
Lineage: Eukaryota
Description: SSU rRNA
Rfam family: Eukaryotic small subunit ribosomal RNA
Source: RNAcentral